This 245-nucleotide unclassified non-coding RNA is filed under the name Hevea brasiliensis (rubber tree). Lineage: Eukaryota; Viridiplantae; Streptophyta; Magnoliopsida; Malpighiales; Euphorbiaceae. The record is from RNAcentral.
UAAUUCCUAAGGUCUUACCGAAAUUUUGACAAAGUCUCCCUUAUAACUAGACCUAACCUCCCUGCAAGAAAAAAACAUAACAACAAUAACAUACAGGACCUCAAGUCCACAACAAUAAUUAUAAUGCCUAUCCGGGGGCCUACAAGAAUCUUAAUUUAAGUCAAAUCCUCCAAAAUUCAGCUCAAGUUUUUAACUCCUCUACAAUUUAAAUAAUUAUUUUUAACACUUUAAAAAUUAUAAAAAUA